Non-coding RNA from Acanthosepion pharaonis, 113 nucleotides. Lineage: Eukaryota; Metazoa; Mollusca; Cephalopoda; Sepiida; Sepiidae. The record is from the annotation of a GenBank genome assembly.
UUACGGCCAUAUCUCGUUGAAACAUCCGUUCUCUACCGAUCACUGAAGUUAAGCAACAUCGAGCCUGGGCAGUACCUAGAUGGGUGACUGUUUGGGAAUACCAGGUGCCGUAU